Molecule: long non-coding RNA, 208 nt
Filed under: Phoenix dactylifera (date palm)
Lineage: Eukaryota; Viridiplantae; Streptophyta; Magnoliopsida; Arecales; Arecaceae
Description: long non-coding RNA (PDAC_LNC003391)
Source: RNAcentral
UUAAAGGUAGAGGCUAUUAAUUCGAUUAAAAUAGUGGGAGAAAACUUUUGACUAAAGUCCAAGUCUUUAGGAUUAAAUAAAUCAUAUACUGAUUAGUUGGGUUUUUCCUUUAUUUUUCAGAUAUGGCUAACUCAUUGUCCCUCCGAACACUAUUAGACAAUGAUAAGCUUAAUGGACCUAACUUCGAUAGCUGGUAUCGAAAGAUGAA